GAGUUUGAUCCUGGCUCAGGAUGAACGCUGGCGGCGUGCCUAACACAUGCAAGUCGAACGAAGCGCCUUUUGAGAUUCUUCGGAUGAUUGAUCGGUGACUGAGUGGCGGACGGGUGAGUAACGCGUGGGUAACCUGCCCUGUACAGGGGGAUAACAGUUGGAAACGGCUGCUAAUACCGCAUAAGCGCACGAGAGGACAUCCUCUUGUGUGAAAAACUCCGGUGGUACAGGAUGGGCCCGCGUCUGAUUAGCUGGUUGGCAGGGUAACGGCCUACCAAGGCAACGAUCAGUAGCCGGUCUGAGAGGAUGAACGGCCACACUGGAACUGAGACACGGUCCAGACUCCUACGGGAGGCAGCAGUGGGGAAUAUUGCACAAUGGGGGAAACCCUGAUGCAGCGACGCCGCGUGAGCGAAGAAGUAUUUCGGUAUGUAAAGCUCUAUCAGCAGGGAAGAAAAUGACGGUACCUGACUAAGAAGCCCCGGCUAACUACGUGCCAGCAGCCGCGGUAAUUC
RNAcentral lists this ribosomal RNA (515 nucleotides) under uncultured bacterium. RNAcentral describes it as "bacterial SSU rRNA". It matches the Rfam family "Bacterial small subunit ribosomal RNA", at positions 9 to 526 of the family's 1533-position model. The record is from RNAcentral.